CGGCCGCGUGAGGACGAGGCGAUUUGAAAACACGCUCAGGGAGCGAGCGAAAAGCCUGCGGCGGGCGGUACACGGCGUGGUCUUGCAGGACUUGGCGUUCGCUCGCUUUCCACCUGGUCUCCGUGUCCCGGGUCCGUCCGGGUUCUCUGGUUCCCCAAGUGUCUGUGUUUAAGCAAUCUUCCUGCCUCUGACUAAUACUGACACAGGCACAUGCCCUGUGCUCCCUUUAAAGUCAGCUCUUAACCUCUUGUGUAGGCCACUUCUACUUAAGGAGUUCUAAGCAUUCAAGAAUGACCAAAAAGAGGAAACGCCAAGAUGAUUUUCAGAAAGUAAAACUAAAAGUUGGUAAAAAGAAGCCCAAGUUAGAAAAUGCUACAGCUACAAACUUUAAGACAAAGGCUAUACAUUUGCCUGAACAACUUAAAGAGGACAGAACACUGCCGACCAACAACAGAAAGCUUAACAUAAAGGAUUUGCUGUCACAGAUGCAUCACUAUA
RNAcentral lists this long non-coding RNA (498 nucleotides) under Rattus norvegicus (Norway rat). RNAcentral describes it as "long non-coding RNA NONRATT023233". Lineage: Eukaryota; Metazoa; Chordata; Mammalia; Rodentia; Muridae. The record is from RNAcentral.